RNAcentral lists this ribosomal RNA (1705 nucleotides) under Salmonella enterica subsp. enterica serovar Enteritidis. Its description in RNAcentral is "partial 23S ribosomal RNA". It matches the Rfam family "Bacterial large subunit ribosomal RNA", at positions 1252 to 2925 of the family's 2925-position model. Lineage: Bacteria; Pseudomonadati; Pseudomonadota; Gammaproteobacteria; Enterobacterales; Enterobacteriaceae. The record is from RNAcentral.
GAAGGUGGCCUGUGAGGGUUGCUGGAGGUAUCAGAAGUGCGAAUGCUGACAUAAGUAACGAUAAAGCGGGUGAAAAGCCCGCUCGCCGGAAGACCAAGGGUUCCUGUCCAACGUUAAUCGGGGCAGGGUGAGUCGACCCCUAAGGCGAGGCCGAAAGGCGUAGUCGAUGGGAAACGGGUUAAUAUUCCCGUACUUGGUGUUACUGCGAAGGGGGGACGGAGAAGGCUAUGUUGGCCGGGCGACGGUUGUCCCGGUUUAAGCGUGUAGGCUGGUUUUCCAGGCAAAUCCGGAAAAUCAAGGCUGAGGCGUGAUGACGAGGCACUACGGUGCUGAAGCAACAAAUGCCCUGCUUCCAGGAAAAGCCUCUAAGCAUCAGGUAACAUCAAAUCGUACCCCAAACCGACACAGGUGGUCAGGUAGAGAAUACCAAGGCGCUUGAGAGAACUCGGGUGAAGGAACUAGGCAAAAUGGUGCCGUAACUUCGGGAGAAGGCACGCUGACACGUAGGUGAAGUGAUUUACUCAUGGAGCUGAAGUCAGUCGAAGAUACCAGCUGGCUGCAACUGUUUAUUAAAAACACAGCACUGUGCAAACACGAAAGUGGACGUAUACGGUGUGACGCCUGCCCGGUGCCGGAAGGUUAAUUGAUGGGGUCAGCGCAAGCGAAGCUCCUGAUCGAAGCCCCGGUAAACGGCGGCCGUAACUAUAACGGUCCUAAGGUAGCGAAAUUCCUUGUCGGGUAAGUUCCGACCUGCACGAAUGGCGUAAUGAUGGCCAGGCUGUCUCCACCCGAGACUCAGUGAAAUUGAACUCGCUGUGAAGAUGCAGUGUACCCGCGGCAAGACGGAAAGACCCCGUGAACCUUUACUAUAGCUUGACACUGAACAUUGAGCCUUGAUGUGUAGGAUAGGUGGGAGGCUUUGAAGUGUGGACGCCAGUCUGCAUGGAGCCGACCUUGAAAUACCACCCUUUAAUGUUUGAUGUUCUAACGUGGACCCGUUACCCGGGUUGCGGACAGUGUCUGGUGGGUAGUUUGACUGGGGCGGUCUCCUCCUAAAGAGUAACGGAGGAGCACGAAGGUUGGCUAAUCCUGGUCGGACAUCAGGAGGUUAGUGCAAUGGCAUAAGCCAGCUUGACUGCGAGCGUGACGGCGCGAGCAGGUGCGAAAGCAGGUCAUAGUGAUCCGGUGGUUCUGAAUGGAAGGGCCAUCGCUCAACGGAUAAAAGGUACUCCGGGGAUAACAGGCUGAUACCGCCCAAGAGUUCAUAUCGACGGCGGUGUUUGGCACCUCGAUGUCGGCUCAUCACAUCCUGGGGCUGAAGUAGGUCCCAAGGGUAUGGCUGUUCGCCAUUUAAAGUGGUACGCGAGCUGGGUUUAGAACGUCGUGAGACAGUUCGGUCCCUAUCUGCCGUGGGCGCUGGAGAACUGAGGGGGGCUGCUCCUAGUACGAGAGGACCGGAGUGGACGCAUCACUGGUGUUCGGGUUGUCAUGCCAAUGGCACUGCCCGGUAGCUAAAUGCGGAAGAGAUAAGUGCUGAAAGCAUCUAAGCACGAAACUUGCCCCGAGAUGAGUUCUCCCUGAGACUUAGAGUCUCCUGAAGGAACGUUGAAGACGACGACGUUGAUAGGCCGGGUGUGUAAGCGCAGCGAUGCGUUGAGCUAACCGGUACUAAUGAACCGUGAGGCUUAACCUUACAACGCCGAAG